Molecule: transfer RNA, 71 nt
Filed under: Cricetulus griseus (Chinese hamster)
Lineage: Eukaryota; Metazoa; Chordata; Mammalia; Rodentia; Cricetidae
Rfam family: tRNA
About the family: Transfer RNA (tRNA) molecules are approximately 80 nucleotides in length.
Source: Rfam by way of RNAcentral
GGUGAGAUGGCUCAGUGGUUUAAGAGCACUGGCUGUUUUUCCAGAGGUCCUGAGUUCAAUUCUCAGCACCC